Molecule: non-coding RNA, 940 nt
Filed under: Sigmops gracilis (slender fangjaw)
Lineage: Eukaryota; Metazoa; Chordata; Actinopteri; Stomiiformes; Gonostomatidae
Description: 12S ribosomal RNA
Rfam family: Bacterial small subunit ribosomal RNA
Source: RNAcentral
AAAAGAUUUAAUCCUAACCUUUCUAUCAGCUCUAACUCAAACUACACAUGCAAGCCUCCGCCCCCCAGUGAGAAUGCCCUUAAUCCCCUAACCUGGGAUCAGGAGCCGGUAUCAGGCACACCCCCAUAAAGCCCAAGACGCCUUGCUUAGCCACACCCCCAAGGGAACUCAGCAGUGAAAAACUUUAAGCAAUAAGCGAAAGCUAGACUCAAUCAGGGUUCCUAAGGGCCGGUUAAGCUCGUGCCAGCCGCCGCGGUUAUACGAAAGACCCAAGUUGAUAAUCACCGGCGCAAAGCAUGGUUAAGGACAUAAUAAACUGAAGCUGAACCCUCCCCCUGCUGUUAUACGCCCCCGGAAAAAUAUACCCCUAUCACGAAAGUAGCUUCAUCCCCACCUGAACCCAUGACAUCUAAGAGACAAACUGGGAUUAGAUACCCCACUAUGCUUAGUCACAAACACUGACACCCCACCACUCCGCCAGGGGACUACGAGCGUAAGCUUAAAACCCAAGGAUUUGGCGGCACUUCAAACCCAUCUAGAGGAGCCUGUUCUAAAACCGAUUAUCCCCGUUCAACCUUACCACCCCUUGCCAACCCCGCCUAUAUACCGCCGUCGCCAGCUUACCCCUCAAGUGCCCCCCAGUAAGCAAAAUAGGCACAACCUAAAACGUCAGGUCGAGGUGUAGCGCACGCAGUGGAAAGAAUGGGCUACAUUUCCUAUAAUAGGUACCACGACAGAUACUAUGAAACAAGUAUCCAAAGCCGGAUUUAGCAGUAAGGUAGAAAACAGCGUGUUCUCCUGAAACAGGGCCUGAAGCGCGUACACACCGCCCGUCACUCCCCCCUCCCUCAACACCCCCCCCCUUCUUAACACAAACCACAACCUAAGGGGGGAGAAGUCGUAACACGGUAAGUGUACCGGAAGGUGCACUUGGAAUAAC